UGCAAAAGGGUAAGAAGCCCGCCGCGGA
This 28-nucleotide small RNA is filed under the name Bombyx mori (domestic silkworm). Its description in RNAcentral is "ovarian small RNA-33231". The record is from RNAcentral. Lineage: Eukaryota; Metazoa; Arthropoda; Insecta; Lepidoptera; Bombycidae.